Non-coding RNA from Physcomitrium patens, 1188 nucleotides. Lineage: Eukaryota; Viridiplantae; Streptophyta; Bryopsida; Funariales; Funariaceae. The record is from RefSeq and is a predicted model, not a curated record.
ACUGCUUGCCGCGGCGGGCCCUAAUCCGCACUUUCGGCGUAGAUUAGGACGCGGCCAUUUUCAGCAUUCGGCUUUCAUGUAUGUGGGACUCGGGGUUGAAUCAGCACAGCAGAACAUAAUUCGACGCCACUGGGUGUGUGAGUCUCGACCCCUGCUCGCCACACGCCAUGGCUCUCGUGUUGUUGAGCUCUUCGCAGAUGCGAUGCUUAUGGUCGUGGCAUCGCUUUGCAUUGUCUCCACUGUUAGAGGUGAGUCGCGGCUGACAGAGUCCUUGUGGGGCUAGAUCGAAGUUAAAAGCGAAUUUUCCAAAAACAGCGAGUAACCCACGAAGAACUCCAAUCAAGGAAAUAAUUUCAGCCGCGACCGGAUGGCGUACACUUGAAAUUAAUCAAAAAGAACCCUUGGUCACUGGCACCGAAGGACAAAUAGAUGGGAUCUCUUGCCCACCCAAUUGAGGAAGAUUGUAAGGUACUGGUUUUGAUUACGUGCGUAUCAUCCUCCGAGGCUUCUCCCUCUCUCAAUUUCUUGCUGCUAGAUUUUGUGUCCGAGUUUCCAACCCUACAUUGCCGACAACAACCUCAAUCGGGCAGGACCCUAUCCCGAGCAGUUGUUCCUGAGUUGCUUGUUUGCUGGAUUUGCAUCGAUGAACAUCGUGAAAGGCUGAUACCCACGUUGUGAAAAUGAACAAUGCGUGCACAAGAAUAAUUCUUGCGCUGCAAUGGUGCUUUUAAAAGCCAUUAUCCCAUCUGCGAAGAGCUCAACAAAACGAGAGCCAUGGCGCGUGGCGAGCAGGGGUCGAGACUCACACACCCAGUGUGUCGAAUUAUGUUCUGCUGUGCUGAUUCAACCCCGAAUCCCCCAUACAUGAAUGCCAAAUGCCGAAAAUGGCCGCGCCUUAAUCUACGCCGAAAGUGCGGAAUAGAGCCCGCCGCGGCAAGCAGGUUGGACCCAGUUUGGGCCCAAUUACACUUAAAAGAGGGGGGUAGAUUUCAUAUUAUCACGCUCAAGCUCAAGGUAUAUUAUGAGAAAAUUGAGGGGUAGAUUUGCCAUUAUGAAGAAUACAGGGGUAUUCUCGAUAUUUCAACGUAUUUCAGCAGUAUACAUGAUGUUUUCUCUUAUCAAAACUCAGUAUGUAUUGAUUAAGAAACAUUAUUCUAGAAAUAAAAAUAGGCAAUGGUGUUUUUCACA